Molecule: ribosomal RNA, 518 nt
Filed under: uncultured bacterium
Lineage: Bacteria
Description: bacterial SSU rRNA
Rfam family: Bacterial small subunit ribosomal RNA
Source: RNAcentral
ACUGAAUAGAUACCCUGGUAGUCCACGCUGUAAACGAUGAUUACUCGAUGUUGGCGAUACACAGUCAGCGUCUGAGCGAAAGCAAUAAGUAAUCCACCUGGGGAGUACGAUCGCAAGAUUGAAACUCAAAGGAAUUGACGGGGGCCCGCACAAGCGGAGGAGCAUGUGGUUUAAUUCGAUGAUACGCGAGGAACCUUACCUGGGCUCGAACGUAAGAUGACUGUAGGUGAAAGCUUACAUCUCUUCGGAGCAUUUACGUAGGUGCUGCAUGGUUGUCGUCAGCUCGUGCCGUGAGGUGUCGGGUUUAAGUCCCAUAACGAGCGCAACCCCUACCUUUAGUUGCCAACAGGUCAUGCUGGGGACUCUAAAGGAACUGCCUACGCAAGUAGUGAGGAAGGCGGGGAUGACGUCAAAUCAGCACGGCCCUUACGUCCAGGGCUACACACGUGCUACAAUGGCCGAUACAGAGGGCAGCUACCUGGUGACAGGAUGCAAAUCUCCAAAGUCGGUCUCAGUUC